Quercus lobata is the source of this 310-nucleotide long non-coding RNA. RefSeq lists it as uncharacterized. NCBI's taxonomy places the organism in Eukaryota, Viridiplantae, Streptophyta, Magnoliopsida, Fagales, Fagaceae. The transcript has 4 exons. The record is from RefSeq and is a predicted model, not a curated record.
UUGAUUCUCCUUUGCAGUUUCUCAUGAGCUUGCUUUUUUGACUUGACAGAAAAUUAAGAACCCCAAUUAUAAAGGAAAAUGGAAGACUCCUUGGAUUGAUAAUCCAGAGUCUGAAGAUGACCCUGAUGUUUAUGUGCUUAAGCCAAUUAAGUAUGUAGGAAUUGAGGUUUGGCAGGUAAAGGGUGGGUCAGUUUACGACAAUGUUUUGAUCUGUGAUGACCCAGAUUAUGCAACACAAGUUGUGGAAGAAGUAUUUGCAAACAGGGAGAUUGAAAAAGAGGCCUUUGAGGAAGCAGAGAAAGUGAGAAAA